Long non-coding RNA from Stegostoma tigrinum, 958 nucleotides. RefSeq lists it as uncharacterized. NCBI's taxonomy places the organism in Eukaryota, Metazoa, Chordata, Chondrichthyes, Orectolobiformes, Stegostomatidae. The record is from RefSeq and is a predicted model, not a curated record. The transcript has 4 exons.
ACACAAUCAUCGCCUUGGAAGCUUCAUCACGAUACUACUUUGCAUUUCUGAAGAGGGAAGAAGAAAUCAAUGUGCAAAUUCAAUUCCUUGGUUUUGGAAGUCCCAUUGAGAACACGAUUCAUUUGCGCCGGCAAAAUGCUCUGACCGAGAAAGAAUUGAAGGACCACGCUGAGUGUUGUUAUCCCGAUAGUUCUUUCAUAUCAGUCCGUGUGUAUUCCUGGGCGAACGUGCUCGUGUGGUCUCAGGAGUUGCGGAGGUCACGGCUCUGGGACAGCUGUUUCCUCGCCCUAUGCUGCAGAACCUACCCCGGAAGAGAGAGCCCAGAGAAUUGCCAAAGCUGUCCGCAAACAGUCAACAGAAGUGAAGGAAAAUUGGGAGCAAUUGAAAACCCGUGCGAGCAACUGGCAGAAACAGGUGGAAAAGGCGUUGGAGAAACUUUAAGAACUGCAGAAAGCUCUGGAUGAUCUUGAGGCUCAUGUGAUAACAGCUGAGGGGGUCCACACUGAUUGGCAACCUGUGGGUGACCUGCUUAUUGACUCAUUGCAGGAUCACAUUGAUAAAACCACAGGUGAGGACUAUCUGCAAAAUCUGAGAUUGGGUUUUGAAAGACAGCAGCCUUUGUUUUGGAGAGAUAAUGGGAACUGCAGAUGCUGGAGACCGCGAGAUAACACCGUGUGGAACUGGAUGAAGACAGCAGGCCAAGCAGCAUCUCAGGAGCACAAAAGCUGACGUUUCGGGCCGAGAACCUUUUUCAGAAAAUGGGGAGGGGGUGCGGGUUCUGGAAUAAAUAGGGAGAGAGGGGGAGGCGGAUGGAAGAUGGAUGGAGGAGAAGAUAGGUGGAGAGGAGAGUAUGGGUAGGGAGGCAGGGAGGGGAUAGGUCAGUCUGGGGAGGCCGGACAGGUCAAGGGAGCGGGAUGAGGGGAAAUAGGGGUGCGGCAUGAGGUGGGAGGGGGGAUGG